ACGCGGCCAGCUGCGGGGGCAGCCCUCAGUCGGGUCCACGUGGCAGUACGCCAGCGCCGAGCUCGAAGUUUCCCUCACGUCGAGGGACGUGUUUUCUAACGUACAGGAACUUCAGCAUGUAACCGCACUAUAGGGACCUCAGUGUACCCCUCUUCACAGCACAAACAGAUACGUUUGGAAAUGGAGGUGGAGGAGGCGUAUGAAAAAGGAGAGAAUACUCAGGGGAAAAUGACUCGAGCUGAAGCUGCAAAAUUAGUGAAAAAGAACUUUCUGGAAGCCCUGAAGUCCAAUGACUAUGAAACACUGGAAGAGCUCUUGAACCAAAAGAAAAUAGAUGUGGACACGGUGUUUGAAGUGGAAGAUGAGAAUCUGAUUCUGGCAUCCUACAAACAAGGAUACUGGCUGCCUAGUUACAAAUUAAAAAUAUCCUGGGCAACUGGACUUCAUCUGGCUGUCAUGUAUGGGCAUCUGGAGAGUCUUUCAGUCCUGCUCAAUCACAAAGCUACGAUCAACUGCCGGCCCAAUGGGAAAGCUGCAAUCCACAUAGCGUGUGAAACAGCAAAUGUUGAGUGUCUCAAGAUCCUCUGCAAUCAUGGGGCCAAGCUGAACUGCUUUUCAAUGAGUGGGCAGGCGCCCUUGCACUUCUGUACAACACUAACCUCCAUUCCUUGUGCCCAGCAGCUGAUUUGGAGAGGAGCCAACGUGAACAUAAAAACCAACAACCAAGAUGAGGAGACCCCUCUGCACACUGUUGCGCGUUUGGGUAUCCCCGAGCUCGUGGCUUUCUAUGUGGAACAAGGGGCGCAGGUCGAUGCUCUCAAUGCCCACAUGGAGACCCCCCUGGCUUGUGCAGUCUACUGGGCCCUUCACUACAAGGACCAGACAUACAGCCCCGACCACCACCUCAUCUGCCGGAUGCUCUUAGACUACAAAGCUGAAGUGAACACUCGUGAUGAGGACUUCAAAUCUCCACUCCACAAAGCUGCCUGGAACUGUGAUCAUGUACUGCUUCACAUGCUGCUGGAAGCAGGAGCAGAAGCCAACAUCAUGGAUGUCAAUGGCUGUGCACCCCUACAGUAUAUCAUAAAAGUGACAUCUGUGAGGCCAGCUGCCCAGCCUGAUGUCUGCUACCAGCUGCUACUGAAUCAUGGAGCAGCCAGGAUAUAUCCCCUGCAGUUUCACAAGGUGCUGCAAGCCUGUCAUUCCUACCCCAGGGCUGUGGAGGUGGUUGUCAACACCUAUGAACACAUCAAAUCAACAUCAAAGUGGAAAGCGGCCAUACCUGAUGAUGUCUUUGAGCGGCACCAGGAUUUCUACGACUCCUUAUUCAAUGUGUGCAGCAAUUCACCACGGUCCCUCAUGCACUUAUGCAGAUGUGCUAUUCGGAUGACACUGUCAGAACGAUGCCACCGAGGCGUCCCUUUGCUCUCCAUCCCACUGUCCAUGAAGAAGUACUUGCUGCUGGAACCAGAAGGAAUAAUCUACUGAGCCAGUGCCCUGCUGCUGCCUGCAUCUUCAUGGAGUUGCAGGCCCUGUGCUCACACAAACCUUCACUUCUGUGUGGCCUGAGGGCUGGCUGGCAUUCACUGGCCCUCCUCAGAGCCUCCUUGGAGAAGCAGAGUUGGAAAGGCACAACCAAAUGAACACAUCCCUCAAUGCUUUGUUGAGCCUAGCAUAAACAACCCAAGCAAUGAUGCUUCCAUUUCUAUCAGUAUUUAUUCCACUGUGUGAUAUGGUUAGAUUCAAUCUGAGCAGCCCUUUGUACUGUUUCACAGCAGUUUUCUUUAGCUGUCAUUUUAGGAGUAAGAGGAUACUGUCAAAAAGUAGUGUGUUCAUUAGUCAUUGGAAUGCUUUCCCAGAAAGAAAUGGGCAAACUGAUUUGUAUCAUGACCACAGUCAGGAUUGCAGUAGUUUCCUAUGGAUCAGUACUGAAUUUGGGAUUAAUAUGUUGUUCACUACAGCUGUCUGUACCUUAAAGUUUUGUCAUAAUACUAUUCUUUUUAAUUGCAGUAUUUUUUUCCAUUAUCCAUCCUAGUAUAGGAACGGGACUGAAAUCUGCAGCACUGACAAUUCUGUGUGUUCUUGUUCAUGCCUUGCUUUGGUAGCUUUUAGAAGAUGCUGUCUCUGUUUCCACUCUCAUCGUGACCUGCAUUAAAUUCACAGCCUGGUGUGGAAAAGGCAGAUGCCCUGGACUUACCUGUGUCAGCUCACUCACAUACACACAUUCUUCAGGAUGGUUGUGGGUGGGAUCUGUGAAGAAUACGAGAAUUUCUGUCCAUUGGUUACAAAAGGAUACUAACCUAUUAAUGUGGACUAGAUAGCUCAUUUUUGAGCAGCUAAGUACAGGUGAAAAGAAUUCCACCUUAACUGAAAGGUGUUUUCACAUUCAGGAAACUGGGCUGAGCUGUUUCAGACUUGUCAGCUGCUUGGUGCCUUUGAACGUGCUGAUGCUGUUUCCCACAAAACAGUUUGUCCUGGCAGAGCCAUUGUCUCCAGUGCAGGGGAAGAAAUGCAUGGUGCACUGUAGGUAUCCUGCAGCAACAGCAAUGUAUAAUUUGACCUAUUGAUAAAAGCCAUUUUUACUCCCUUUUUUUUUAGUUUUAUGCAGUCCAUUUGCACUGUUCUUCAUUUAGACUCCGAUAACUCUCGGCUCUGAUAGAAGGGAGGUGAGCUGGGCCCAUCAUCAGAAGCCAGCAGCCCCUGACUUCUCACUGCAUCUUUGGCUGAUGCAGUGGUUCCUUACUAUCAUUAUUAACUCUCUGCAAGAGAUCCCAUAUCUUGCUGGGCUUUUCCCACCUGUACAGGAGCAGCCAAGCUGUUCAGUGUCUCUGUGCUUUGCAAGGUAUCAAGAACAGCACCCAAAGAGAUGCACAGAAUAUUUAGUAUUAUAAAUCACUUUGCUGACAGAAAGCACAGCGAUAAGAGCUCUUACUAUUAGUAACAGGCCUAACAAGUGUUACAUCUAUAUCAAAGGCAGUCCCACAGUCACUGGAGAGUCAUAGGACCGCACAGGUUGGAAAAGACCUUCAAGAUCAUCAAGUCCAGCCACCAACCUGACCUGCUGAGUGCCAUCACCACACCGUGUCCCUCUGCCAAUCAAGCCCUGUACUUUACUAAAAUGAUGAAAGGUUUCUAAAGUGAAUUUUGAGGGACUGGGAAAGCCUACAUAAUAUAAAGCCACUGCUUUUCUAAGCAAUGCAUCUGUGUAAGUCAGGAAUAGGGAAAAGGACUUGCCAGCUGGACAAGGCAAGAAAAUAUUUGUUUCUUUCUGAACAGUCUGACAGCAGGACUAGCUGCACCCUCCAGAAAAGGCAGAUGGAGGUGCCUGGUUUUACUUUGCAGGCAUACUCAUGCUGGUGGCUUCAGGAUGUGAUAUUCUGCAUCUGGAAGAGGGAGGUUUAAGGCAGAACAAUAGCACUGUUUUUGACCUGUCGUAGUGAGGACUCUCUUGCUGAGAGAGAAGAAAAAAGACUGUCACCACUGUUCCUAAAUUCCCCCUGAUCCUCCCUCUUCACAUUGAACAAGCUUAAUUUUCAUUCUGCAGGCACCCAGCCUCACUUCCAAGCUUUGUACCCAAGCAGGUGCCAGAUUACAGCCAUUGUGGGAUGUGACAGAGAGCACAGUGGGAUCAGGCUGAUUAUAGUCAUAGGAAUUUGCAAGCUGUUAAAACACUGGAGAACAUCCCCACUGCAGAAAGAAAAAGACUAAUUGAUGCACUUUAAUUGGUUUUGUUGUUUGAGUUAGAAGAACAACAGUAAGCAAACCUUAUUAUUUGUUACCUUUUAACAUUUCUUUCUUUUUAAAUCUCACUGCAGUGACAGUAAGACUAAAUACAUCCAGUUUCUGUGCACUAGAUGGAGCUGCCCAAGUGAGGCAUGGGGGCACCUGAUAUUUGCUAAAUUUACUGGGUGCACAGUCUUAUUACUCUUAGUGCAGAUUCAUUGGAGAUUCAUGCUGUUAUAUAACUUCUGAUCAUGCCUGUAUGUUUCCAAAGCUGCAACAAAUUGGAUGGCUGCAAAUGGAAAUAGAGAGAGACCAGGCUGCAACCCCUAUGCUGUAAGUUUGAACCUAAUCAUGAGCUAAAAUAACAGAAAAUUAGUUUUAGCAUUGCUUGGUGUUGCCUUGCCUUGCCUUCCUUUCCCUUCUCUUCAUUAUUUAUUUGUGCUAUUUGUCUUCUCAGUAAAAAUGUAAUCAUGUCUGAGAAAUUUUCACUGCAUUUCACAGCCUGUAAGAAUAUUUAAAGCACACAGGAGCACAAACAAUGAACUGUUGUUCCCACUGGCAGCCCUUUCCCGCAGCUCCAUUAGUGACUUGUCAAUAAACAACCUGGUGAUUUUUAGAAGGUGCAUAAGAAGAGACGUUCUUAAGCCAAGUACUUUGUUAUUCCAUCUAUGAACAUAGACGUAGAGACACUCCACAUGUUUUUGUGGGCCAGUGCAGAGCCAUAAUCCAGUUUUUCACAGACAUUCACUUUGUAUACUGCUCUUAUAAUAAUUUGAAACCUUCUCUAUUUGAUGUCUGACUUGUUCCAGCUUGACUCAAAACUCCACAGAUUUAUCCAUGGAGAAAGCAUGUAGGUGAAACCAAAAUCAAUCUAAAAGUGUUCAGGACUGUGUUUUCAUUCAAAAUCUUAAACAACUAUUCACGUUUUUCAGCCUUCAGAAACCAGGACAGUGAGCCUGAAACAGUGUGACUAGAGAAGCUCUACUGCACUGCUGCUGAUCAUGCCCAUCUCAUGCCAAGGAGAGGAGCCAGAGACUGCAAAGUGGCAACUCGGGAAAUUGCAAGAGGAAGCAGCUCAUCUUACUCAGUUCCUUCUCAGCAUGUAGCAAAUGGAUGUUGAAUGCAGACAAGUUUGAUCAAGAAAAGAAAUCUUCACCUGUUCCUGAUAACCUCACAAAACCCUCCAGCUGGUGAGGGGCCAAGAACAGAUAACUCUUAAGAUCUGAGGAAAAACAAGCAGGAACAGAAGAGUAGCAAGCCUGCUUCAGAAUAAUGCCCCAUAAAAGAGGAAAGAGAAUAGUGGGACUUAUAAAUGCAUGGACUCUGGCUCAAGCAGUGCAAAAACAGAGGUGCUGCAAAAGGGCAAGGCAGUACGUUGGCAGGCCACAGGCACGCAGCACAUUGGAGAUCCAGGCUGAGGAGACACUGCGAUCAGUACAAAGCUGUUUUCUGACAGAAAGUAACAGAGGUAUUUUAACAUCCGUGCAGAGAAGAAUCACCCAAUAGGGCCAACUAUAGAGAAGUCCAUUGAAUUACACCUACAUACUAAAGCUGAGCCAACGCUUCUGUGAGUCGCUCCUGUUGUUUCCCAGUGUGCAUGGCUCUCAUGAACUCAAGGUCACGCUGUCUGCCUGGGUCAGCACUGAACAAAUCUCUCACUGCCAGCAGCUCUGAGCUAGCCUUGCUGGAAAUUCCAGCAUGUCAUUCAGGCCCAUUUCUCCCAUAGCCUUGCCUUUCCUUUAUCAUAAAUCCAGAGAAUUUCAGUGAUAACUUUCUCUUUCACCUUUACAGUAUUUUGGUAGCUUUUGCUUAGGGCAGCUUUUUUGCUACAGAGAAGAAAAAAAUAAUCUGAAAUGAAUUACACAGGCCCAUGCACACACCAAGUCAGAUUCUUCUCAACUGAAGGAAUUUUGACCAUCUGGAAAGAAGAACAAUUAACUUUUAUAUUUACACCUGUUUGCUCAUAUAUCAGGACACUGAUUGUAUAAUUUGCAGCUGCUGUGUAGAUGCAGUACAGUAUGUGCUGCUGCAUUUUCCCAGUCUUAAAGUUCCCUAAUGCAAUCAGGUAUGCUGGGAUCUGUGGGUUGUGUGACAUUCCAGAAUAAAACGGAGAGCCAGUUGCUUUA
Lagopus leucura (white-tailed ptarmigan) is the source of this 5849-nucleotide RNA transcript. It is a transcript of the gene named ankyrin repeat and SOCS box containing 4, with no coding region annotated. The transcript has 7 exons. The record is from RefSeq and is a predicted model, not a curated record. Lineage: Eukaryota; Metazoa; Chordata; Aves; Galliformes; Phasianidae.